UUUGGAGAAAAAAAUAUAACUAGCGAACAAGCGCCAUUCUUUCAUUCAGCGGGUGUAGCUUAUUAUUCUUCUCCACAUUGAAAACAUGUCAUUUAAACAUUUUUACUUAUCGUUUGUGAGGUUCUGAUCCAAAGCAUCCGAAUGCCUGAAUUCUGAAACUAACUUUGUAGUUCCGUCUAUCAAAGUGCUAAAAUUAGUUUUUUACUUCUACUAGAGUCCAUUAAACUGUACAUUUCCGGGCUGGAUUCAUUUAUGAAAUCGAAAUUGAAAAGAGGCAGGCUUCCGGAAAAGGGAGUGAAAUGUUCAUAUGGUGUGGAUGUGAAUAUAAGAUAAAAGGCUAUACGGAAAUACCAGUUGUGCGCAGUAUAGAAUAAGGAAAAGAGAGAAGAAAACUUCAGUAUUGAGAGCAAGCAUAAAGCGGACUGCGAUACCCGGAAGCUGCUUUCUUUGCAGAUAUGAUGCCGGAGCCCUGAUCGUCUAAGCCGUGGCUCGCCGCUCCCAUGAAGAGGUGACAACGGUUUGCCAUGUAAUACAUGCUGUAAAUACCAGACUCUGCACUACAGAAAAGCUUACGUUCAACACAUGAACUAUUUUUACCCAGAAGUUACUGAAAAUAGCACCGAAAAAACUCGCUUUCCAAAUGUAGAAGUAAAAGGUGUAUAGUAACAAAAUAGAAUGGCAUAUAUUCGUUAUUGUCUUAACGUGAUAUUUUUAGCAUGCUAUUUUAUGGUGUUAACCCUGUUUUUAAUGUGCUGUAUUGGGUUUUAAACUGCAGUAUAGCUGCACUGGUCUAAUAAAAGGCACGGUCUCUA
This is a long non-coding RNA of Brienomyrus brachyistius, 812 nucleotides long. RefSeq lists it as uncharacterized. Lineage: Eukaryota; Metazoa; Chordata; Actinopteri; Osteoglossiformes; Mormyridae. The transcript is spliced from 2 exons. The record is from RefSeq and is a predicted model, not a curated record.